CACGCACACACGCGCGGCAUAUCAAUAAGCGGAGGAAAAGAAACUAACAAGGAUUCCCUAGUAACGGCGAGUGAAGCGGGAAGAGCUCAAAUUUGAAAUCUUCAAGGUUCUACCUUGACGAAUUGUAGUUUAUAGAAGUGUUUUCUGUUAGUGGAGUGGCAAAAGUUCUUUGGAAUAGGACAUCAUAGAGGGUGAGAAUCCCGUAUUUGGUCAUUCCUCCUAGCGUUGUGAUACACUUUCAACGAGUCGGAUUGUUUGGGAAUGCAGUCCAAAAUGGGUGGUAAAUUUCAUCUAAAGCUAAAUAUUGGCGAGAGACCGAUAGCGAACAAGUACCGUGAGGGAAAGAUGAAAAGAACUUUGAAAAGAGAGUUAAACAGUACGUGAAAUUGUCAAAAGGGAAGCGUUUGACACCAGUGUUGUUUUCUCGAAAAUCAAUUAAGAAUGUGGAUUCUGUAAGUUAGUAUUGACUUUAUCAGGCUUUCUGCUCUCUUUUCCGAAUCUUUCUUAAUGCACUUUUCGGUUAACAAGUCAACAUCAAUUUCUUUUGUUGUAAAAGAGGUCAUUGAGGAAGGUGGCUUUCUUUUCGGAGAAAGUGUUUAUAGCCUUUGGCUUCUGCAAUCGGAGAGAUUGAGGUCUGCAGCGUAGAUCCUUCGGGGUUAGAUACAUUUGUGCUAAGUUAUAGCCUUUCAUAGACAACUUGUUGACUAUGAUCAGUCAUGUAGCUUACUCGCUUAUGCUAUUUUACCUACGCUUAGGAUGUUGAUAGUCACAGCGUGUAC
RNAcentral lists this ribosomal RNA (779 nucleotides) under uncultured Neocallimastigales. RNAcentral's name for it is "partial large subunit ribosomal RNA". It matches the Rfam family "Eukaryotic large subunit ribosomal RNA", at positions 16 to 643 of the family's 3401-position model. The record is from RNAcentral. Lineage: Eukaryota; Fungi; Neocallimastigomycota; Neocallimastigomycetes; Neocallimastigales.